This 81-nucleotide transfer RNA is filed under the name Felis catus (domestic cat). It matches the Rfam family "tRNA". From Rfam's summary of the family: Transfer RNA (tRNA) molecules are approximately 80 nucleotides in length. Their secondary structure includes four short double-helical elements and three loops (D, anti-codon, and T loops). The record is from Rfam by way of RNAcentral. Lineage: Eukaryota; Metazoa; Chordata; Mammalia; Carnivora; Felidae.
GCCUGGGUGGCUCAGUUGAGCGUCUGACUUCAGAUCAGGUCAUGAUCUCAUGGUCUGUGGGUUCAAGCCCCACAUUGGGCU